RNAcentral lists this ribosomal RNA (403 nucleotides) under uncultured eukaryote. Its description in RNAcentral is "SSU rRNA". It matches the Rfam family "Eukaryotic small subunit ribosomal RNA", at positions 16 to 436 of the family's 1831-position model. The record is from RNAcentral.
GCCAGUAGUCAUAUGCUUGUCUCAAAGAUUAAGCCAUGCAUGUGUAAGUAUAAGUAUUAUACGGCGAAACUGCGAAUGGCUCAUUACAUCAGUUAUAAUUUAUUUGAUAAUCGAAAGUUACAUGGAUAACCGUGACAAAUUACAGCUAAUACAUGCAGUCAGACCUGGUCCAAGGGUCGUAAUUAUUAGUAUUAAAACCAUUUUCCUACGGGGAGUGUGAUGAAUCAUAAUAAUUGAACGAAUCGCAGAGUUCUGCGAUAAAUCAUUCAAGUUUCUGCCCUAUCAGCUUUGGAUGGUAGUGUAUUGGACUACCAUGGCAGUCACGGGUAACGAGAAUUAGGGUUCGAUUCCGGAGAGGGAGCCUGAGAAACGGCUACCACAUCUACGGAAGGCAGCAGGCGCG